RNAcentral lists this ribosomal RNA (253 nucleotides) under uncultured prokaryote. RNAcentral describes it as "partial 16S ribosomal RNA". It matches the Rfam family "Bacterial small subunit ribosomal RNA", at positions 525 to 777 of the family's 1533-position model. The record is from RNAcentral.
ACGGAGGGGGCUAGCGUUGUUCGGAAUUACUGGGCGUAAAGCGCACGUAGGCGGCUUUGUAAGUUAGAGGUGAAAGCCCGGGGCUCAACCCCGGGUCUGCCGUGCAGACUGCCUAGCUCGAGCAUAGUAGAGGCACGUGGAAUUCCGGGUGUAGCGGUGGAAUGCGUAGAGAUCCGGAAGAACACCGGUGGCGAAGGCGGCGUGCUGGGCUAUUGCUGACACUGAGGCGCGACAGCGUGGGGAGCAAACAGGA